RNAcentral lists this unclassified non-coding RNA (204 nucleotides) under Hevea brasiliensis (rubber tree). Lineage: Eukaryota; Viridiplantae; Streptophyta; Magnoliopsida; Malpighiales; Euphorbiaceae. The record is from RNAcentral.
CAAAAAAAAAAAAAAAAAAUCUUAUGCAAUAUCUGUCUUCUAUGUUAAAGAUGUUAUCUUCAAUUGUCUCUCCACAGUAUGCAAGAAAUUCAACCAAGUGGACAACGUUCUUCUAAAAAGAGUUCAGAAAGAAAAAGACGGUAGAUACAUCAACUUAGCGAUUUAAAUCUGAUUCACAACACCUCCAUCUCAAGAUUCUUCUGU